AACGAACGCUGGCGGCAGGCCUAACACAUGCAAGUCGAACGUGAAGCCACCUUCGGGUGGUGGAAAGUGGCAGACGGGUGAGUAACGCGUGGGAACGUGCCCUUCGGUUCGGGAUAACCCAGGGAAACUUGGGCUAAUACCGGAUACGCCCUUCGGGGGAAAGAUUUAUUGCCGAAGGAUCGGCCCGCGUCGGAUUAGCUUGUUGGUGGGGGUAAAAGCCCACCAAGGCGACGAUCCGUAGCUGGUCUGAGAGGAUGAUCAGCCACACUGGGACUGAGACACGGCCCAGACUCCUACGGGAGGCAGCAGUGGGGAAUAUUGGACAAUGGGCGCAAGCCUGAUCCAGCCAUACCGCGUGGGUGAAGAAGGCCCUAGGGUUGUAAAUCCCUUUCAGCGGGGAAGAUAAUGACGGUACCCGCAGAAGAAGCCCCGGCUAACUCCGUG
Molecule: ribosomal RNA, 444 nt
Filed under: uncultured bacterium
Lineage: Bacteria
Description: bacterial SSU rRNA
Rfam family: Bacterial small subunit ribosomal RNA
Source: RNAcentral